This 354-nucleotide ribosomal RNA is filed under the name Triticum aestivum (bread wheat). Its description in RNAcentral is "partial small subunit ribosomal RNA". The record is from RNAcentral. Lineage: Eukaryota; Viridiplantae; Streptophyta; Magnoliopsida; Poales; Poaceae.
CUUUGGAGAUGGGAACACGGAGAAGGUGAGCAUCAUCUGGCCCGGGUACUACUCCCUGAUCUUGGAACCGGUGCCCCCGCCGAGGGAGUGGCACACCUGGAAGCCUCAGGACAAGCACAUGAACAAAAGGGAAAGUACCUUGGAGGCAGCGCAAUUCUCGGCCUCCUCGCGGACGACGUCGAGGACGGAGUCGAUGAGCUCCCCGCCCUUGGUGUAGUGGCCCUUGGCCUAGUUGUUGCCGGCGCCGGACUGGCCGAAGACAAAGUUGUCGGGGCGGAAGAUCUGGCCGUAGGGCCCCUUGUGCACGGAGCCCAUGGUGUCGGGCUCGAGAUCCAUGAGCACGCACCGUGGGAG